UACGGAGGGUGCAAGCGUUAUCCGGAUUCACUGGGUUUAAAGGGUGUGUAGGCGGGUAUUUAAGUCAGUGGUGAAAUCUCCGGGCUCAACCCGGAAACUGCCAUUGAUACUAUUUAUCUUGAAUCUUGUUGAGGUAGGCGGAAUAUAUCAUGUAGCGGUGAAAUGCUUAGAUAUGAUAUAGAACACCGAUUGCGAAGGCAGCUUACUAAACAGGCAUUGACGCUGAGGCACGAAAGUGUGGGGAUCAAACAGG
This 253-nucleotide ribosomal RNA is filed under the name uncultured bacterium. RNAcentral describes it as "partial 16S ribosomal RNA". It matches the Rfam family "Bacterial small subunit ribosomal RNA", at positions 524 to 776 of the family's 1533-position model. The record is from RNAcentral.